AUGCUCUGCGGAGACUUCAACUUGAUCUACCGAGACGAAGACAAGAACAACGGGAAUAUUAACAGACGCAUGAUGGGGCGCUUCCGUCGUGUUAUCAACGACCUCACGCUUAAGGAGGUUUACCUCAACGGUCGACGAUACACAUGGUCAAAUGAGCAGACCCCGCCCAUGUUGGUUCACCUCGACAGAGUCCUUUGCACCGCGGAUUGGGAGGAGCGGCACGGCGAGUGCCACCUGCGCUGCCUUGCCUCGGUUGUUUCCGAUCACAGCCCGCUCAUGCUGGACUGCUCGCCCUCGCCCCCGGUGCACCGGCGCUUCCAAUUCGAGGAAUACUGGACGUGCAUUGCCGGCUUCCAAGACGUGGUUGCAGCUGCUUGGUUUUCGGUGGACGACCCGAGCCCGUUCCGCCGCAUAAUGCGGCGCAUGAAGGCCACCGCACGCAGACUCACGAGCUGGAGCGCUCGCGCCGUGGGCAACAUCCGCGACCAGCUCGCGAUCUCGCGCGAGCUGCUCCUGCGUCUUGACUCGGCCCAGGAGCUUCGUCAGCUCACGCCCCACGAGGACUGGCUCCGCCGACAGAUCAAGCUGUCAUACCUUGGCCUCGCUUCGCUCGAGCGAACCCUGGCUCGACAACGCGCGCGCAUCUCUUCUCUCAAAGACGGGGACGCCAACACAUCCUUCUUCCAUCGCCAGUGCACUUAUCGCAAGCAAAAGAACAGGAUCCACUCCCUGUCGGUUGACGGCGUCGUGCUCACCGACCAGACUGACAUGGCUGCGGCGGCCUUCGCGCAUUACGAUUCUCUGCUCGGGACCGAUCGACCUCGAGAUUGCGCCCUUGACCUGCAGCAUCUCAUCGAGCCGGCCGCCCUUGACGACCUGGAGGCCCCAUUCACUGAAGACGAGAUUUGGCAAGCCAUCAAACGCCUGCCGGCGCGCAAGGCGCCCGGCCCGGACGGCUUUACCGCGGAGUUCCUUCGAUCCUGCUGGCCCGUCGUCAAGCACGACUUCGUCUGCGCCUUCCAGCAGCUUCAUUCGCUCCGUGGACGAGGAUUCAGUUAUCUGAACCAAGCGCUGCUCACACUCAUCCCAAAGCGCGCCGACGCUGCCAGCCUGUUCGACUACAGGCCCAUCAGCCUCAUCCACCUCGUCGCCAAGAUCUUCGCGAAGGUGCUGUCUCUCCGCCUCGCGCCCAAGCUCAAUGACUUGAUCAGUCCCAUCCAGAACGCCUUCAUCCCCGGACGCAGCCUCCACGACAACUUCUUGAUCGUGCGACAGUCGGCGCGCCUCCUCCACCAGCUGGGAGCUCCGCGCAUCCUCCUCAAGCUUGAUCUCACCCGCGCCUUUGACUCCGUCUCAUGGCCCUUCCUCUUCGAGGCCCUGCGUCGAUAUGGGUUCGGUGAUCGCUUCCUUGGCUGGAUUGCCAUCCUGCUCUCGUCGGCCAGCACCCGAGUCCUCCUAAAUGGCGCGCCUGGCCCGGCGAUCUCGCAUCGAUGUGGACUCCGCCAGGGCGACCCGGUGUCACCGCAGCUCUUUGUGCUUGCUGUCGACACGUUGGGGCGCUUGUUUCGCCGGGCUGCUGAGCUCAACAUCCUGCAACAGCUGCACCCCCGUCGUGCGAUCCCCAUCAUCUCGCUUUAUGCCGACGACGUCAUCCUCUUCUGCCACCCCUCACCUAGCGACACGUUGGCGGUCAGAGAGAUUCUGCAGCUUUUUGGCAGAGCUUCAGGCCUGCGGGUAAAUUUUCAGAAGAGCACGGCCACGAUGAUUCGUUGCGUAGCCGAGGAGGUCGCUCCGGCCAUCGCGACGCUGGGAUGCCCCAUCGCGCAGUUCCCCAUUACCUACCUGGGUAUCCCCCUCACCUUGCGACGCCCGACUGCUGCCCAACUGCAACCCGUCGUCGACAAGACUGCCGGGAAGCUGCCCACUUGGAAGGCGCACCUCAUGAACAAGGCUGGACGCCUCGCCUUUGUCAAAUCCGUGCUCUGUGCAAUUCCCCUGCAUCAACUCCUUGUGCUCGCGCCGCCGAAGAAAGUCCUCAAACUCCUUGAGAAGAUCCAGAGAGGCUUCCUCUGGGCUGGCCGCACCGAGGCUCAAAAUGGCAACUGCCACGUGCACUGGCGCCGCGUCUGUCGCCCCACACACCUAGGCGGCCUCGGCAUUCAUGACCUGGAGCGCACGGGCCUUGCCUUGCGCACCAGAUGGCUCUGGUUCGCGCGCACAGACGGAAACAGGGCCUGGGCUGGCCUCGAUCUGCAGUUCUCCAGUGAGGAACGUGCAUUCUUCUUUGCGUCCACCUCCAUGGUCCUUGGCGAUGGUCGGCGAGCAUUGUUCUGGGAAGACCGAUGGAUCAACGGGCAAUCCAUCUCUGAGAUCGCCCCCCAGCUAUAUGCCCUCAUCCCCAAGCGCCGCCGCAAAAUAAGAACAGUGGCCGAUGGCCUCCAGGCGCACACAUGGGCAUCAGACAUCCAUGGCGCCCUUGGCAUCCAAGAGAUUGGCCAAUACUUGCUAACCUGGAGGGCCAUUGAGAAUAUCACUCUCUCUGGUGAUCCAGACCAGCUCCAUUGGAAGUGGAAUGCUGCUGGCACAUACACCGCCCAGUCCGCGUACCUAGCCACCUUCCAUGGCUCUACUUCCUGCCCGGCAUGGAAACUUAAUUGGAAAGGCUGGGCCCCCCCGCGAGUGAAGUUCUUCCACUGGCUCGCUAGCUUGGGACGCUGCUGGACAGCUGAUCGUCUCGCUCGCCGCGGACUGCCGCACCCUCCUCGCUGCCCGCUAUGUGAUCAGAUGCCGGAAUCGAUGAACCACCUGAUCAUGGAUUGCCCCUUCACCAAGCAGAUUUGGCACGACAUCCUGUCUUGGCUGCACCUCCCUUGCAGUGCGCCUAAUGGUGAAAACUCCCUGUCGACCUGGUGGCACACGGCGCGCCAGACCACACCCAAGCUGAUGCACAAAGGACUAACAUCCGCGACGCUGCUGAUCCCUUGGAUGACCUGGAAGCAUUGCAACGAUUGUGUCUUCAAUGCAGCCACCCCUUCGACUAGCGUCUUGGUUGCAAAGAUCAAAGAAGAAGCUGCGCUCUGGGCGACCGCGGGUGCUCGAGGCCUGCGUGUCAUCCUCCCACAGACCUGGGAUGUACACUGA
This 3141-nucleotide ribosomal RNA is filed under the name Triticum aestivum (bread wheat). Its description in RNAcentral is "partial small subunit ribosomal RNA". The record is from RNAcentral. Lineage: Eukaryota; Viridiplantae; Streptophyta; Magnoliopsida; Poales; Poaceae.